Molecule: non-coding RNA, 3299 nt
Organism: Phascolarctos cinereus (koala)
Lineage: Eukaryota; Metazoa; Chordata; Mammalia; Diprotodontia; Phascolarctidae
Source: RefSeq, a predicted model, not a curated record
UAUCGCAAACAUAGGUGACUUCUACUAGAAAAUUACUGUUUAUGAUGAUUUAUGGAGAUUGCCUGGUAAACAAAUGCUGACAGAUAAUCACUGUUUCUCUGCUUUAAAAUAACUGGCACAUUCAAUUUCUGUCUUUCAGAUGAGAAACAAAAUCAGGAGAGCCAAAGGACUCAACUAUCUGGACAAGGCAGUCUGAGGUGGGCAAGGAGGCUUUGAUCCGUCCAAAAAACAAACCCUUACUCUUGCCCUUGAGCUAGGUCCCCAAAAGGGGGUUGAAGACAAGAAAAGAUAACUUGGGCUUGCUAUCUACGUCUUCCUCCGUGCCAAAACAACCCACAACCCAAAACAUUUCUCACAAAGUUGCCCCUAAGGCUAACAGGACUUACUUGUUCAUCAAAUGAAGCUGCAAGAAGAGGUUGGCCAAAGAGGAAUUAAGGCAAGAUAUGCUUUCAGAUUCUAAAUAGUAUGUGAAAGAACUACAAUAUAGGUUAAGAAGUUUCUCCCCAGGACAGGGCUGAAAGGGUGUAGCAGGAAGCUAGAAAGAAUGGACCUAACUACUCUUCAUAUAUUCAAGCCACAAAGCCCAGAGAAUCUAUACCCUCACAAAUGGAAAGAAAUGGCAAAUGGGAUUGCUUAAUCACUGCCAGUGACAACCAAAGUUCAUUCGUAGCAAAAUCAUAUGACACACGAAGGGAAAAAUGAUUUCAUCAACAGCAGAUCGCAGUUGGAUUGUCUUCAUGGACAAAUGAACACUGAGAAGAUGUAGUGUCCAAACAGGCAACCAGAAUGAAGGGUCUCCAGUUUGUGCCAUAUGUUCUCAGCUGAAAGGACGGGGGCUCUUUGGCAUGAAAAAGAGAAGACUUGGGGAGGACAUGUUCUUCUUCAAGUAUUUCAAGGGCUGUCACACAGCAGAGGAAAAAAUGACUUGUUCUGCUCGACUCCAGAGAAGCCAUAGGUACCAUGGGUAAAAAUAACAGGGGUAUAUUUAGGUUAGGCAUGCUGCAAAGAAAUCCGUCCUGAUAGUAGUCACUUGGCCAAAGUGACAGAAGGCCCUGCCAUGGCUGGAGAGGGCACUUGGGUUGUGGUGUUUUUGUGAUCUCCUUUCUGAAAUCCCUUCCAAGGCAGUCAGAAAUAGACUGUGGAAUACUUUGGUUAAUUAGAGCACAUGUGUUGCAAUUUAGGACAAUGUUAAGAAAGUGACUGUCUAUACUGUUUGUCUCAGAGAUCUCACCUCAAGGCCUAUACCCAAAGAAGGCAUAGCUAAGAAGGUCCCAUAGGCCAAAAUAUUGAGAUCAGCACUUUUUGUGAUACCAAGUAACUGGAAACAAAAUUAGAUGCCCAUUGAUUGGGAAAUGGCUAAACGAUGAUAGUCCAAGAAUGUGACAAAAUACUAUUGCAACAGAAGAAACUCUGAAGAUGAACAGAGAUGAAUGGGGGCAUUUAAAUGGACUGAAGCAAAGUAAAGCAAGCAGAACCAGGAAAAUACACAUAGUUGAUACAUAACAGUGUCUAUGGGAAGAACACAGGUCCCAAAGUGAAGCUGUGUGGUAAGUGACCAAAUUCAGGGUGUAAAGGAGAAGGCACCUGCUGCUCUGUUCUAGAACACAGGUCCCAAAGUGAAGCUGUGUGGUAAGUGACCAAAUUCAGGGUGUAAGAGAGGAGAAGGCUGCUCUGUUCUUUGCAAAGUUGAAAGAGUAGAGCACUGAAUGUGCUGCCCUUUGUUCUGAGAUAGGGGAGGGAGGAGGAAUGUAUUUGAAGUGGAGGUAAAAACAAAAGCUAUUAAAAAAUGAGAAGAAAAAAAAAAUAGAUGCUUCACCUGUGGAGAAUGUUCUCAAGUUAAUACCUCUGAUGAACAGGUUAUCUUCAAGGAAGUCUAAAUUUGCCACUGAGAGUGGUGGUUCUAACAAAUACCUGAAAAUUAAGGGAUAAGGAAGAAACGUGGCAGCCUUUUACUAAUUCAGAGCAGAAGCAUGCCCCAAUAACUUGUUCCAUUAACAUCACGUUAAGGAAAAGGGACAUUAUGAAGUUAAGCCAUAGAAAUAUGGUUCUAAAUGGGCAUUGCCAAAAGUCACACAAGAGUUUAAUUCCAUCAUUAACAAGCAUUACCAAAACAACCAUAGAAGGUGAAGUAUUCUGUGAGUAAGCCUGCAAUAGUAAAACUUGGAAGCUUAUUUUUCCAUGUGAUAGUAAAAAUUUCCAGACCUUUUUCUUAAAGCAGUGAUUAGGACACAGCAAUGUACCAGGUACCUGGGUAUCCAAGGAUGACAGGGAUAUAUCACUGAGGAGGCAUUUUGUGAUAGCAGAGAACACACUGGGAUUUAGGGUCAAAUGAUUUGGGUUUUAAUGCCAGCUGUUAUUUACUGCCUUAGUUUUCUCCGCUGUAAAAUAACUUAAGACCACAUGCAAAAUCUCUUCCAACUCUAGCUUCUAUGGGGGUGGGGUUGGAGGGCUAGAAGGCAGCUUUCAGGUCGAAUCUGGCUAUGUUUUAGCUAAACAACAACCUAUUUCCCUAUCAGCAAAAUGGAAAUAAUGCUACUAGCUGUCCCCUGAAUUAAAGACCUUGAGAGUUGCCUUCAAUUUCUUUCUUUUCUUCUCUUAUUGCUAAAGCUAACAUUUCCAGUACCAUAUUGAACAGUGGUCAUAAUGGAUACCCUUGUUUCACCCCCAAUCUUAUUGGAAAUGCUUCUAGCUUAUAUCCCCAUUACAAAAGACCUUGAGUUGGAAAAGAGCUCAGGGCCACCUAGUUGAACUUUCAUUUUACAGAUAAGACAACUGAGGCCAAAGUUAAGUGACUUACCCAAGGUCAUACUAAGUGUCACAGGACUCAAAUGUUCUUUCCAUUAUACCUUGCAUUACAGCUGACAUGAUUAUCACUGAGAACUUUGAAUUAUGUGGGAAAACUAUUGCCAUCAUCAAAAAGGCCAGGAGUCUUUAAUGGGGAAAAUAGUUUGUGGCUGCCAAUUACUAGUACCACAGACCAGCUUACAGUGACCAGUCUGGACUGGAGAGUCUUUCACUUAAUCAUUACUGCAGAGUCAUCAGCAACUUAGGUAGUAUUAAGGUACCAAAAACCCCCAUGAAAUAGUUCAGAGAUUUUAUUCUAAUAGCUUUAAUUACAGUGCUUGUUUGUCCAAAUGAAAACUGAAAACAAGUAUACAAAACAGUCGAUUACUAAGUGUGUACUGAAAGCAGUAAGAGUUUCCACAACACCAAACAAACCAGUUCUGAGUUUUUCCCGAGACAAAGUUUCACAGCUCCAGCUUCUUCAGUGUUUAUCAAAAUACAAAAGAAAAAAAAAA